GAUGAAGAACGUAGCGAAAUGCGAUAAGUAGUGUGAAUUGCAGAAUUCAGUGAAUCAUCGAAUCUUUGAACGCACAUUGCGCCCCUUGGUAUCCCGAGGGGCAUGCCUGUUCGAGCGUCAUUUCUCCACUCAAGCCUGGCUUGGUGUUGGGCGACGUCCUCUUUGGGGACGCGCCUCGAAACGCUCGGCGGCGUGGCACCGGCUUUAAGCGUAGCAGAAUCUCUCGCUUUGGAAGUCGGGGCCCCGUCUGCCGGAAGACCUGCUCGCAAGGUUGACCUCGGAUCAGGCAGGGAUACCCGCUGAACUUAAGCAUAUCAAUAAGCGGAGGA
Molecule: unclassified non-coding RNA, 329 nt
Filed under: soil metagenome
Description: partial contains 5.8S ribosomal RNA, internal transcribed spacer 2, and large subunit ribosomal RNA
Rfam family: 5.8S ribosomal RNA (bases 1-120)
Source: RNAcentral